GCUUGUCUCAAAGAUUAAGCCAUGCACGUGUUAGAUCGCUUUUAAGUAGAUUUAUCUAUUAUAAAGAAUCUGCGGAUAGCUCAUUAUAAGGGUUACAAACUUAGCUACUAGAUUAUUGAUAAGGAUAACACUAUCAAAGGUAGUGAUAAUACUUGAGGAAAAGUUAAAAUUUAACGAGUAAUAUUUGAAAAUUGAAAAUGAAAUAUAUGACUCGUCAGAGUCUGGUUGACCACGUUAGUGGCCUAGAAGUAGUAUUUCUUACUUAUCAGUUAGUUGUUUCAGUAAGGAUAAAACAAGACUACCACGAGUACGGAGGAUUAGAGUCUGACACCGGAGAGGGAGCCUGAGAAAUGGCUACUACAUCUAAGGAAGGCAGCAGG
RNAcentral lists this ribosomal RNA (380 nucleotides) under uncultured fungus. RNAcentral's name for it is "partial small subunit ribosomal RNA". It matches the Rfam family "Eukaryotic small subunit ribosomal RNA", at positions 30 to 432 of the family's 1831-position model. The record is from RNAcentral. Lineage: Eukaryota; Fungi.